GAAUGUGUUUUAAGAUCCCUUUCACAAUCAGAAGGUGCUAGCCAUCUAUUCCUUAAAGUUCGAAAGCUGAAAUGCAUCUCUUAUAAUCUUUGUUAGACUUACUUUUCUCCUUAGUGAGGAGAAAAUUCCUGAACUCCAGCAUGUCCUCAUUGAGGAUGGAAAGGAAAAGCUACUGGUGUUUGCAAAACUCUUAGCUCUCCUAAAGAAUGCAUUAUUUUAUUCAUUAAAUAUAUAAAUCAUUUCUGAAUGAGCAGAGCAUUAUGGAAAACAUUAUGAAAGAUCAAAAGUAAGGGAAUGCUCAGACCUGAUGCCCUGAAGCUUAUCAGUGCUAGACACUUGGACCAAAAGGUCACCUCUGAAUUGUUAUGACUGUGAUGAGCUCAUGCAUGUAGGUAUCAGCCUUCCUAGGAUCUGUACAUAAUCAUAUAAUGAAAUCUUAGUGUCUUGCCCUAUGACAUUUUUCAGUCUGAAUCUUUGAGGGGGAAAUAUCCACAGAAUGUAGAAUCAAAAGAGGGAGGAAAGGAACUGCAUAUGCUUUCAAUUUAUAAAUUUUUAAAAAAUUAUCAGUGUGCUAAGUAAAUACUGUAAUCAGAUUGAUUGUACAGAUUUGUAUUUUGAAACAAGUAGAAAGCAAAAUUAUUUUUGUAGACUAAUUCUCAAGAGAAAUAGAUUAUCAAAUUAGAGUGUGAAAGUAAGUUUUUAUGGAGAUAUUUGCACUGUGACAGAUCUAAGCAGAAGUGUGUAUCAUGAUUUCCUAUCAUCUCAUUUCUGAUUAAUCCAAAAGUAUAAAGAUGCUUUUAUACCAGUACAAUAUUUGAAAUAUCCACUAUAUUGCAUUAAAGCAAUAUUGUACUUUUUUAUCUCUUAACACACCAACUGAUUAACUUGGUAGCUAAUUAUCCAGAUGCUUUUAUUAGCUAUACAUUCUUCUUCUUUUUUAUUUAUUUAUUUUUUACAAAUCUUCUUUCCAUAAUAAAUAUUACCAUUUCUGGUCAAAAAUAAUUGCUUUGAAAAGAAAAUACAGCUUCUAAUUCUGAAUUCAGAUGUCUUAAAGAAUCUUCUCUAUUAGGACCAAGUUUAUUGAUCUUACUAUGCAGUACCCUCCCAUUUAUAUGAGGUUGUUUCCUUUUAUGUUGGACAGGAGAGCAUCAGGCAUACUUCUCUAGACAUUUGAGAAAGACACUAAGAUUUCCAUGUCAGCUGAGUAACUUUUUUCCCAAUCAUCACAUAUGAUUGAUUAAAUUAGGAUAAUGGUAUUUCAUAUUUCUAAGUCUUACUUUUAGUUAUAUAUGUGAUUUUCUAUAUAAAGUAUUUAGUAAUCAUGUUCUCCAAUUGACUUUGACUAAAGAAUGCCCAGGUAGAAAGGUGAGAAUAAUUAUUUACAGGCUUGUCUUUAAGAAUACAUGAAAUACAUCUAAAUUCAACAAUGCAAAGGAGGAAGAAAGCACAUAUAUAUGUUGAGGGUGUUUUUUCAUGUGUGAUACAGACAGGAUGGGUAAUAAAAAUUUGCAUCUUGCUAAAUCAGUCUUAUGGAAUAGAUUUAACAAUGUGUAUGGAAGCGGAAUGGAAUGAACAAGUAAAAUAUCACACUAGGCUCAUGGUUGGUGUAGUGACAAUGGCAAAUCUUGGCUGACCAUAAAAUAGAAAGACUAAAUCAGCCAAGUGGAGUGUAGAUUACCUGAUUCUCAGCUCAGAGGCACCUUGUCCCUUUUUCCACAUCUCUGGGAUGAAAAUCCUUUUCUUUCUUCUUCUUCUUCUUCUUCUUUUUUUGCUUGUGAGACUUUGCUUUAAGUUCUUAUACUGAUUAUUUCAUGGCAUGAACCUUUAUUAUUAUUUUUUGAUGAGAUGUCACAUGACAGCACAUUGAAAUUUUUCAAUUUAGAAAAUUUUGGAUGAGCUUAGUCCAAAUUUGAAAUUAUUUGUGACCCCAACAACAGAAACAUUUCUAUAAUAUGCAAUUUGAGUUCCCAAUAUAAUUUUUUUUAAUAAUGACAAAUUUCAAAGCAAAUUAUAUUUUACCCAUUUGUAUAGCAAUCUUGUCUGAUUUUCUUGUUCAUUUACUGAAGUAUAAGAGAUGACAAGCUUCCUCUGACAAGGUUUUAAUUAGUUUCCAUAUGUGAUAUUUUUAUACCAUGUGGUCCUGAAAUUUUCUUUUCGUAUGGAAAAAAAGGCCACUUAAACUGUUUUAAUUAUUUACCUGCAUCAGUUCUUAUAUUCCCCAAACAGAUGGCUUUGACACUUUUUUUUUUGCUUGUUUGUGCUUUGAUUUUUUAAAAAAACUUUCUUCUUAUUCUGGCAAUUCAGAAGGAAUAGUUUACUUCUCACCAAUUGUAUUAAAGAAAAAGUAAAAGAUGGAGUGUAGGUCACCUGAAGGAUUUUCUGCAGCUAAACUCAAUUACAGGCAAUGACUGAAAUGUAUUUAAAGUUGCUGAUUUGGAGGGGUGGAUGGAUGCUGUCCUCUGGCUUCUGAGAGGACAGGGCUUGUAGAGCUUUUACAAAAUGAACAAAUAUUGACAGUUUCCUUUUCUUCUGUUUUUUUUUUUUCAUUGUG
RNAcentral lists this long non-coding RNA (2551 nucleotides) under Marmota monax (woodchuck). The record is from RNAcentral. Lineage: Eukaryota; Metazoa; Chordata; Mammalia; Rodentia; Sciuridae.